CUUGGUCAUUUAGAGGAAGUAAAAGUCGUAACAAGGUUUCCGUAGGUGAACCUGCGGAAGGAUCAUUACAAGUGAGGCUACCGAACGUUGGAAACAGCGGUUAGGAGCUUACACCCACCCGUGUUUACAUACUAUUGUUGCUUUGGCGGGCCGUGGCCUCCACUGCGGGCUCUGCUCGUGUGUGCCCACCAGAGAACCAAACUCUGAAUGUUAGUGAUGUCUGAGUACUAUCUAAUAGUUAAAACUUUCAACAACGGAUCUCUUGGUUCUGGCAUCGAUGAAGAACGCAGCGAAAUGCGAUAAGUAAUGUGAAUUGCAGAAUUCAGUGAAUCAUCGAAUCUUUGAACGCACAUUGCGCCCUGUGGUAUUCCGCAGGGCAUGCCUGUUCGAGCGUCAUUUAACCACUCACGCCUAGCGUGGUAUUGGGGCACGCGGUCUCCGCGGCCCUCAAAAUUAGUGGCGGCGCCGGUGGGCUCUAAGCGUAGUACAUACUCCCGCUAUAGAGUUCCCCCCGGUGGCUCGCCAGAACCCCCAAUUUUUUACAGGUUGACCUCGGAUCAGGUAGGGAUACCCGCUGAACUUAAGCAUAUCAAUAAGCGGAGG
Molecule: ribosomal RNA, 603 nt
Filed under: uncultured Phialocephala
Lineage: Eukaryota; Fungi; Ascomycota; Leotiomycetes; Helotiales
Description: eukaryotic LSU rRNA
Rfam family: 5.8S ribosomal RNA (bases 243-396)
Source: RNAcentral